GAUGAACGCUGGCGGCGUGCCUAAUACAUGCAAGUCGAGCGAACAGACGAGGAGCUUGCUCCUCUGACGUUAGCGGCGGACGGGUGAGUAACACGUGGAUAACCUACCUAUAAGACUGGGAUAACUUCGGGAAACCGGAGCUAAUACCGGAUAACAUGUUGAACCGCAUGGUUCAACAGUGAAAGACGGUCUUGCUGUCACUUAUAGAUGGAUCCGCGCCGCAUUAGCUAGUUGGUAAGGUAACGGCUUACCAAGGCAACGAUGCGUAGCCGACCUGAGAGGGUGAUCGGCCACACUGGAACUGAGACACGGUCCAGACUCCUACGGGAGGCAGCAGUAGGGAAUCUGCCGCAAUGGGCGAAAGCCUGACGGAGCAACGCCGCGUGAGUGAAGAAGGUCUUCGGAUCGUAAAACUCUGUUAUUAGGGAAGAACAAAUGUGUAAGUAACUAUGCACGUCUUGACGGUACCUAAUCAGAAAGCCACGGCUAACUACGUG
RNAcentral lists this ribosomal RNA (497 nucleotides) under uncultured bacterium. RNAcentral describes it as "partial 16S ribosomal RNA". It matches the Rfam family "Bacterial small subunit ribosomal RNA", at positions 28 to 507 of the family's 1533-position model. The record is from RNAcentral.